AUACCGGCCAGAGACCGAUAGCGCACAAGUAGAGUGAUCGAAAGAUGAAAAGCACUUUGAAAAGAGGGUUAAACAGCACGUGAAAUUGUUAAAAGGGAAGCGCUUGUGACCAGACUUGCGUCCGGUGAAUCACCCAGCUCUCGCGGCUGGGGCACUUCGCCGGCUCAGGCCAGCAUCAGCUCGCUGUCGGGGACAAAAGCUUCAGGAACGUAGCUCUCUUCGGGGAGUGUUAUAGCCUGUUGCAUAAUACCCUUCGGCGGGCUGAGGUACGCGCUCCGCAAGGAUGCUGGCAUAAUGGUCAUCAGCGACCCGUCUUGAAACACGG
Molecule: ribosomal RNA, 325 nt
Filed under: Colletotrichum acutatum
Lineage: Eukaryota; Fungi; Ascomycota; Sordariomycetes; Glomerellales; Glomerellaceae
Description: partial large subunit ribosomal RNA
Rfam family: Eukaryotic large subunit ribosomal RNA
Source: RNAcentral